Molecule: small RNA, 126 nt
Filed under: Atlantibacter sp. RC6
Lineage: Bacteria; Pseudomonadati; Pseudomonadota; Gammaproteobacteria; Enterobacterales; Enterobacteriaceae
Description: tp2
Rfam family: tp2
Source: RNAcentral
GGUAUUCCUUAUCUAUCUAAUACGUUGAUUUAGCUGGAACCUGUCCCAUUGUAUUUUCAUGGGGUUAUCGCUCACAAAAACACAAUAAGACAGGUUCUGCGUUUAGUUGCCGCGCUCUAAAAGUUG